AUUGAACGCUGGCGGCAUGCUUUACACAUGCAAGUCGAACGGUAACAGGGAGCUUGCUCCGCUGACGAGUGGCGAACGGGUGAGUAAUGCAUCGGAACGUGCCCAGUGAUGGGGGAUAGCCCGGCGAAAGCCGGAUUAAUACCGCAUACGACCUACGGGUGAAAGCAGGGGAUCGCAAGACCUUGCGUCAUUGGAGCGGCCGAUAUCAGAUUAGCUUGUUGGUGGGGUAAAAGCCCACCAAGGCGACGAUCUGUAGCUGGUCUGAGAGGACGACCAGCCACACUGGGACUGAGACACGGCCCAGACUCCUACGGGAGGCAGCAGUGGGGAAUUUUGGACAAUGGGGGAAACCCUGAUCCAGCAACGCCGCGUGAAUGAAGAAGGCCUUAGGGUUGUAAAGUUCUUUGUCAGGGAAGAAAGUUUCUGUGCUAAUACCAUAGAACGAUGACGGUACCUGAAGAAUAAGCACCGGCUAAACUACGUGCCAGCAGCCG
Molecule: ribosomal RNA, 494 nt
Filed under: uncultured bacterium
Lineage: Bacteria
Description: bacterial SSU rRNA
Rfam family: Bacterial small subunit ribosomal RNA
Source: RNAcentral